Oryza sativa Japonica Group (Japanese rice) is the source of this 294-nucleotide long non-coding RNA. RefSeq lists it as uncharacterized. The record is from RefSeq and is a predicted model, not a curated record. Lineage: Eukaryota; Viridiplantae; Streptophyta; Magnoliopsida; Poales; Poaceae.
AAACACUUUAUGGCCACCUGCUGCUGCGAUUAAUGGAUAGACAAAGCAUGGUGGGGAUGGCUGAGCUAGCACAGCAACUCAUCUGUCGAGGGAGUGGUGCUGUGGUGGUGGUGGUCAUGGACUCAUUGGGCAUGGCCGCCUCGUCCGAGCCAAAGGCAUGUGAAGCGCUCGGAGUCAGAGAGACCAGGGCUGGGCUGGCGUCUGCUCGCUUCCCGAGAGAACCCCUUAUGACCACAACCAACUGAUUCCUAUUGCAGCUAACUCAAGUGUGGAACUAGCUUUACGCUUGAAGCU